This 114-nucleotide ribosomal RNA is filed under the name Cavia porcellus (domestic guinea pig). Lineage: Eukaryota; Metazoa; Chordata; Mammalia; Rodentia; Caviidae. The record is from RNAcentral.
GUCUAUGGCCAUACCACACUGACCAUAACAGAUCCUGUAUCAUCUUUGAAACUAAGCAGGGUUAGACCUGGACAGUACUUAGAGGAGAGAAAAAGGGAGCAAGGCUCUUAGGUA